RNAcentral lists this unclassified non-coding RNA (337 nucleotides) under soil metagenome. Its description in RNAcentral is "partial contains 5.8S ribosomal RNA, internal transcribed spacer 2, and large subunit ribosomal RNA". The stretch from base 1 to 120 matches the Rfam family "5.8S ribosomal RNA", at positions 35 to 154 of the family's 154-position model. The record is from RNAcentral.
GAUGAAGAACGCAGCGAAAUGCGAUAAGUAGUGUGAAUUGCAGAAUUCAGUGAAUCAUCGAAUCUUUGAACGCAUAUUGCGCCCCUUGGUAUUCCAUGGGGCAUGCCUGUUCGAGCGUCAUUUGUACCUUCAAGCCUUGCUUGGUGUUGGGUGUUUGUCUCGCCUCUGCGCGCAGACUCGCCUCAAAACAAUUGGCAGCCGGCGUAUUGAUUUCGGAGCGCAGUACAUCUCGCGCUUUGCACUCAGAACGACGACGUCCAAAAGUACAUUUUUACACUCUUGACCUCGGAUCAGGUAGGGAUACCCGCUGAACUAAAGCAUAUCAAUAAGCGGAGGA